AAAGUACUCCCUCCGUCCCAAAAUUCUUGUCUUAGAUUUGUCUAGAUACGGAUGUAUCAAGUCACAUUUUAGUAUUAGAUACAUCCGUAUCUAGACAAAUCUAAGACAAGAAAUUUGGGAUAGAGGGAGUAGUUG
Molecule: non-coding RNA, 135 nt
Organism: Triticum aestivum (bread wheat)
Lineage: Eukaryota; Viridiplantae; Streptophyta; Magnoliopsida; Poales; Poaceae
Source: Rfam